RNAcentral lists this ribosomal RNA (465 nucleotides) under uncultured bacterium. Its description in RNAcentral is "bacterial SSU rRNA". It matches the Rfam family "Bacterial small subunit ribosomal RNA", at positions 338 to 795 of the family's 1533-position model. The record is from RNAcentral.
CCUACGGGACGCAGCAGUGGGGAAUAUUGCACAAUGGGCGCAAGCCUGAUGCAGCCAUGCCGCGUGUAUGAAGAAGGCCUUAGGGUUGUAAAUACUUUCAGUUGGGAGGAAGGCGUUGAUGCUAAUAUCAUCAACGAUUGACGUUACCAACAGAAGAAGCACCGGCUAACUCCGUGCCAGCAGCCGCGGUAAUACGGAGGGUGCAAGCGUUAAUCGGAAUUACUGGGCGUAAAGCGCACGCAGGCGGUUGAUUAAGUUAGAUGUGAAAUCCCCGGGCUUAACCUGGGAAUGGCAUCUAAGACUGGUCAGCUAGAGUCUUGUAGAGGGGGGGUAGAAUUCCAUGUGUAGCGGUGAAAUGCGUAGAGAUGUGGAGGAAUACCGGUGGCGAAGGCGGCCCCCUGGACAAAGACUGACGCUCAGGUGCGAAAGCGUGGGGAGCAAACAGGAUUAGAUACCCUUGUAGUC